RNAcentral lists this non-coding RNA (148 nucleotides) under Nomascus leucogenys (northern white-cheeked gibbon). Lineage: Eukaryota; Metazoa; Chordata; Mammalia; Primates; Hylobatidae. The record is from Rfam by way of RNAcentral.
GCUGGGCAUGAUGGCACAUGCCUGUAGUCCCAGCUACACAGGAGGCUGAGGCAGGAGGAUCACUUGAGCCCAGAAGGUCGAGGCUGCAGUGAGCUAUGACUGUGCUACUGCACUCCAGCCUGGGCAACAGAGUGAGAUUCUGUUUCAA